AGCCUGAUCCAGCCAUGCCGCGUGCGUGAUGAAGGCCUUCGGGUUGUAAACUGCUUUUGUACGGAACGAAAAGACUCGUUCUAAUAAAGGGGGUCCAUGACGGUACCGUGAGAAUAAGCACCGGCUAACUACGUGCCAGCAGCCGCGGUAAUA
Molecule: ribosomal RNA, 153 nt
Filed under: uncultured bacterium
Lineage: Bacteria
Description: partial 16S ribosomal RNA
Rfam family: Bacterial small subunit ribosomal RNA
Source: RNAcentral